GACGAACGCUGGCGGCGUGCUUAACACAUGCAAGUCGAACGGAAAGGCCUGCUUUCCCUUGUGGAUUGCGGGUACUCGAGUGGCAAACGGGUGAGUAACACGUGAGUGAUCUGCCCCCAACUUGGGUAUAAGCCUGGGAAACUGGGUCUAAUUCCCGAUAGGACUGCAGGGUGGUGCCUGUGGUGGAAAACGAUUUUCUAGAGGUUGGGGAUGAGCUCGCGGCCUAUCAGCUUGUUGGUGGGGUAAUGGCCUACCAAGGCGGCGACGGGUAGCCGGCCUGAGAGGGUGGACGGCCACAUUGGGACUGAGAUACGGCCCAGACUCCUACGGGAGGCAGCAGUGGGGAAUAUUGCACAAUGGGCGGAAGCCUGAUGCAGCGACGCCGCGUGGGGGAUGACGGCCUUCGGGUUGUAAACUCCUUUCGACCGCGAGGAAGCCACCUGGUUGGAAGGGUGGUGACGGUAGUGGUAGAAGAAGCACCGGCUAACUACGUG
This 494-nucleotide ribosomal RNA is filed under the name uncultured bacterium. Its description in RNAcentral is "partial 16S ribosomal RNA". It matches the Rfam family "Bacterial small subunit ribosomal RNA", at positions 28 to 507 of the family's 1533-position model. The record is from RNAcentral.